CUCGUCUACCAAAACUGUAUCGCAAAUUUAACUACCCCUCAGUAACUGGUAAUGUCAAAACGAAAUUGAUGGAAACAAUUUUGAAACUGGCAACACAAGUUGAUAAAUUAUUGAUUUUAAAUAACAGUUACCAUAACCUUGGUUACUGCUUAGUGAAGACUUGAGAAUUGUAAACAAAACAAAUGGGAAAACGGGUAUUUCUAAGGAAAAAUUAAAAUUCCUCGAGUGAAUAAUCUCUUUGUGCAGAAUGUCCAACUGAUCUAGAAAUUAUCGGAUAUACUAUCCUGCAAAAUCGUUUUGUUUUGAUUGGUCACUAUAAAUAUCGUUCUCCCCCAGAUAGUUUAAUAAAUACAAUGUACAAUGUUACAAAUUAACGUUCGUGCACCGAGUCGUAUACGAACUUUGACUUCACCGGAUAUUUCAGCGAAGCGCUAUCGAUUAGGGUUGUGUUGCAGCAAGGUAAUGACGUCAUAAUUUUGAAAAAAACAGCUGCACGAUUUUAAAUAAGCAACACUUUCAAACUCAUGGAAUGACCAUCGUUCAAACUCAUGGAAUGCCCAUCAGAAUCGCCAGGCCACUUUGAACUUUUAUGGGAAGAAGUUGACCAAAAUAUGGUAAGCCCAGGAGGGUAAUUUUACGCACAGAUGGGAACAACCUACUAUUUUGAAGUAUUACCCUAAUCUAACGGAACUGGCAUUUAAAUACGACAUAACAGUUUUUGAACGAUAACAUUUUUU
Malaya genurostris is the source of this 737-nucleotide long non-coding RNA. RefSeq lists it as uncharacterized. The record is from RefSeq and is a predicted model, not a curated record. NCBI's taxonomy places the organism in Eukaryota, Metazoa, Arthropoda, Insecta, Diptera, Culicidae. The transcript is spliced from 3 exons.